This is a long non-coding RNA of Sapajus apella (tufted capuchin), 471 nucleotides long. RefSeq lists it as uncharacterized. NCBI's taxonomy places the organism in Eukaryota, Metazoa, Chordata, Mammalia, Primates, Cebidae. The record is from RefSeq and is a predicted model, not a curated record. The transcript has 3 exons.
UUUCAGAAACUCAGAACUCCACUGGGGGCCCCCAAUGAAGGGAUCAGCCAACAUGCAGACCUCACGAGCCUAUUGCGGAGAACACACUGCUUGCAAAGGAAUUGAGCAAAUGAAGGGCUUGCUCUCUUUUAUCUGGCUGGAGCAGGCCUGUAGAAGCACUUUCUUCUAGCACCCAUGAGGUCAUUGCCUAGUCCUAGAGAUGAAUAAUGAAGCAUUUUCUCUAUGGAGGACAAUAUGUGGUGUCUGCAGCUCUUUCUAUCAGACAUGGAGAUUUGCAAGCCCCUGGCUGAUCUCUACCCAGCCACUUCUGCCUGGAUUCGGUCAGGGCAGCUCUAUGUGCCCCUAUCUGCUGGGCUGUGAGAACUGCCGUCUUCAGCGUGUGAGUCUUCAUGGGAGCAGAGGCGUGGGCUAAGAGUUUAAUAUUAUCACUUAAAACUUAAAAACUGGGUUGGGACUGAGUUAGAACAAACC